GCCACUGCUACACUACGAUUCCCUCUUUCCACGACACAUCUCCCAAACCUUCCUCCGCCUCGGGCUAUUCCAGCAAGAAGCCGCAAAUCCCGUUUUCCAACCCGCGAGUUUCUGAGAUGCCGGGCACCCUCACUCCCCGGCGGAGCUGGAAGGGAAAAAUUCCGACCGGGGGUUCCAAGAUAACACGACCUUCCCCCUCCAGUCUUGCCCCGACGCGCGCUGCCCAUCUGAAGGAGGCAUGACCAAACAGGUGUCUGUAGAAGCUUUGGAGCUGUUAUCUCAUCAUACUGUAUGUCCUGCUCUGGGGAUGUCUUUUCAUCUACCUACGCAUCUCGGCCCUGCUUCCCAAGCUGUCUCCAAGUGAUAUCAAGUCUAAGUUUGCUGUCUGGGCAGCUGGUUUCAGACCCCCACUGGUUGCAUAAGCAUUGUAGCUAUGCUGGCUCUGCCUGGGGAUCAUCUGAUGCUUUAAAACUUUAGUUAACAAAGUACAAGUUCUUAAUUGCUUAUAGA
Molecule: long non-coding RNA, 510 nt
Organism: Myiozetetes cayanensis
Lineage: Eukaryota; Metazoa; Chordata; Aves; Passeriformes; Tyrannidae
Exons: 3
Source: RefSeq, a predicted model, not a curated record